UUAGACAGGAUACACUCUGGUCCAAUGAGGUUCUGUGGCUUGAAUGUGGACAUGAACCGCCCCAUAAUGGAGACUCUGGGGAGAACCUUCCUAUGGGCACUGUCCGCAAAACAGCAUUGGCCCCCAGCACUGUUCAUGCCCACCGCUGGAGCUGUUACUGUCCAAAUUGUGCUCAACCACAACUGGACAGUAUGGGCCGCAGGGGCACCGGAGCCCAUCCCGACAAGCAAGAGGCACCAGGCAGGGUCGCAGAGGGGCAGUCCCGAGUCCGAUUCAAGCUCUACUGUCCUCUGGGACAAAUUGGUUUUGCAGCAACAAUGCGACCAACCCGGACAAACGCCGCCAGCAAGGAAGACGAUACGGCAGUGUCACAGGAGGGAAGAGAGCACGUUUCCCAGGCUUGAGAAUGGGACUAACCUAACCUGGACAGUGGUGUUGGCCGGAGCUACUGUGGUUCCUCCGAAUGUCAGGGGUGAUUGAGAGAGAGUGUUGCCCCUGGCCGGUUCAUCGACAUCAAAAGAUAUGAAGAGGGUCAGAAGUUAUUGUGCUAUAUGAGCACUUUGACAGAUCAUGGGAAGUCCCAUCAUUGGAAUGCACUCGGGUGACCUCAGAUUCAAAGUCUUAGCCAAGCCAUUCUUGGGAGCCCAGCUUGCCUCCUGCUUGGUGUCAGGUGUACCAGGAAGUGUCUCCAGAGAAUGCAGAAAGCUUUGUUACACUGCAGGAUGUGUGAACAUAGCCAACCGCGCAAAGCAACUGCAUUGGCAGAUAUAAUUGACACUGAAGCUCUACAGGGACCAAGGUGGCUAAAUCAAUCCAGCAGCCAGGGCUGGUGGUCCAGUCAUACGGAAAGAAAUUGAGGGUGUUUUUCACAGACGGAAGACUGUGUGUAACAGGCAAGGCUCAAACGUGUGACUCAGUGAAAGGAAAUGCUGUUACUGUUUGUACAAUAAAAUAUAUAACUGUACAGUUACAACCUGAACCAGGAGUUUAUUAUGUGCUAAAGCAGGAAAUGUACUGUUGAAGGACAGUGCAGAAACACCAGACUACUACAGAUAAAAUAAUUUAACAGAAAAAGGAACAGAAUCAUGUUUGACUAUUUGUUUAACUCCACAGAACAGUACUAACCAUCUCACUGUUUGAGUGUGUGAAUGCUAAUGGUUUUUGUUAAUGUCUUCAACGAUUUGUUUAAAAAACAGUACUGUCCAGACGCAAAGAGUAACAUUGACAUACGGUAACUGUAGUAUGAUGUUUUAUGGUCUUGGCUGUCUUCAAAACUGC
Molecule: long non-coding RNA, 1278 nt
Organism: Lepisosteus oculatus (spotted gar)
Lineage: Eukaryota; Metazoa; Chordata; Actinopteri; Semionotiformes; Lepisosteidae
Source: RefSeq, a predicted model, not a curated record